Molecule: small RNA, 571 nt
Filed under: Pan troglodytes (chimpanzee)
Lineage: Eukaryota; Metazoa; Chordata; Mammalia; Primates; Hominidae
Description: processed transcript
Source: RNAcentral
ACACAGCAUCAUCUCUACCCAUAAAAGCUGGCAUUCUGCAAGACUGAGAAGAUGCCCACCUCCAUUCCCAGAGUCCAGGCCUUCAUUAACUCACACGAGAACUACAGAAGCAUCCCCCCGUAGUUCUCCUAUUAGUCACUCCUCCUCAACUGCCUCUAAUCCAUCCAUCCAUCCAUCCAUCCGGCAUGGGUCAUGUAAAGUUACAGCUGAGAAGGCCCUCAGUGGAUUGAUGAUGCCUACUCAUAUUGGGGAGGGCAGUCUGCUUUACUGAAUCCAGCAAUUCAAAUGUCCAGAAACACCCUCAUAGACAUACCUGGAAAUGAUGUUUAGCCAAAUGCCUGGCACCCUGUGACUCAGGGCUGGAUACAGUGAACUGGAGGAAUAGCGGGGAGAAUUGCCAAUACUCAGGAGUCAGGCUUCACAUUGAUCAUGCAGCUAAUAAGAAAGAAGGCAAAGGUACCAAGCCCCUUGCCAUAUGAGAGCUUCCAUCAACUUUGGCAGAAGAUAGAAAGGAAAAUACUACUACUGUUUAGAAACUGCACUGAUAUUUCUUGACUUCUCCUGAAUCGAC